This is a long non-coding RNA of Glycine soja, 2806 nucleotides long. RefSeq lists it as uncharacterized. NCBI's taxonomy places the organism in Eukaryota, Viridiplantae, Streptophyta, Magnoliopsida, Fabales, Fabaceae. The record is from RefSeq and is a predicted model, not a curated record. The transcript is spliced from 5 exons.
UUCAAGAAAAAGACGACGUUGAAGAUGAAGAAGAAAAGGAAGAUGAAGCGGAAGAGAAAGAGAAAGAGAAGGGUAAGGGUAACUUGUCCCCAUCGAAGAGCUUACUUGACCUCGCACCACCGAAUCAUUCCCUACUGAUUCAACUGAACAAGACUAUCCUCACCAUUCACUAGUUAGAAAUCACCUAUCGCAAUUGUAGAAAUGUGCAUUCCAAUGUCAGGCCCUGCCAAAACCUUUUUGUAUUUAUCAGCCCGAUAAAUACCAAGCUCCUCAUAUGAAGGAUUUUGCUACGGAGAACUUUCAACGAAUAUGCGAAGCGUAUGAGAUUCUCUCAUAUUGAAACAAAAGGCAAAUAUAUGAUAUCUACGACAUGGAAGGGUUGACCUCUGGUUUCGAACUUGGUCUAAGGCUUAAUGGAGCUGAAGAGAUCAAGGCAGAGCUCAAGAGAUUGAAGAGGAUGAAGGAACAUGAGAAAGUGGUAGCGCAUUUUCUACCCUUCGGUACGAUUCUGGCCAUUAUGUCUUUGCCACUCUAUGUAGAUGGAAAUGGCCUACUCAUAGGAUAUUGCACUGUUCAUCAUAUUUUUUUGCUUCUUUAUAUCAAUAUGAAUGUGGUUGUUGAACAACGCUAGAGUUGACUCUUGGUCUCAUGAAACUAUGGAUCUUUUCAUGUGUGGGAUCAAUGUGUACCUAAAUGGUUUUGUUUUGCAGUGGCCACUCAUAAACAAAUUAGAGAAUUGAUGUAGGUGGAAGGCCUUACAAAUGAUGAAGUGAAAAGUCAUUUGCAAUUAUUCAAGUAAAGGGUGAAUGGGAUGCUGGCAACCUCAAACUCUGGUAUUUGUCAUAAACAUUCACUUGUUUUGGCCUUAUGUAAGGAGUAAACCCCACUGUACUUAAGUCUUUGACUAAUGGAGUAAAGGAAAUGGAGUAUUCUGAUAUCUGCAUCAUCGGGUAUUAUUGUCAUUGGGUGUGUUUGCAUUUUGAUACUGACUAAUGGAGUAUCAAAGGAAAUGAAACUUAGAGCAUCACUGAUCAGUCACCUAGAAGAAAGAAGGAAGGCAGAGGCAUCAAGCAACUACAAAAGUCAACUUCUUGCAAAUAUAAGGUUAGUUUUUCAAGAUCAAUGUGAAUUUAGAGAACACUGAUUAAGCUGAAAUCAUAUAAAACAGAGGAUGAAGAACUCUAGUCUUAGGUGUCCAUGUUGUUUUUAUCAAACAUGUAUAUAUCAUGUGCUUUAUCCAAUUUAUGGGUUAAAUUAUUUAAUUUAGAGAAUAUGGAAAAAUAUGUCUCAGUUGAUCAGGGGUUUGAAGGAGAAAGAGACAACUGCUUUAUUUAUUGACAAACCUUAUUGUUGUUUGAAACUAUGUUCUUUGGUGUCAAUAAACAAGAUAAUAUAAAUAACCUUGUACACAAGCUACUCUAUGUUUGAAACUAGGUUCUUUGGUCUCAAUACUUUAUUUAUUGAUUAGGGGUUUUAUAUCUCUCUUUUUGUCAGGGAUUUCCAUUUCUUGUGAGUGUUAUCCAUAAUUUCUACUUACCAUUUGUCAGACAAUAUUUUUGUACAAUAAUAUAUUUGUUGCAUAGAUUUGCUAGAUAUGGCAGAAAGUUAGGUCACAAGAUGAUACGGGUUUUCAGUGCUUCUUGGAUCGAGUUGAAUAUAGCCACAAGAGUAUUUCACAAUAUGAACGGAAGUAUGGCCCAGGCUUUGUGAGCAUUGGUGGACUUGGUAUGCUUAUUCUUAGACUGCUUAAUAUAUCAUGAGAAUACAUUUGAUGUAAUAUACACUUGGGACACCUUGCUGCACGUCAAAGUAAGGAACUAUGCUUUUUUUUUAUUGUUUAAAUUGUUAGUUUUAGUAGUGUCAUGCUUUAUAGUAUUGAUAGGAUUGUAGGUGUAUGCCUCUGAAAGUAUAUAGGUUAGUUAUUUGAAGCACCAUGAAAUACAUUAUAUUAAAUGUGAAAUGCUGAGGAGAAAUCAACAUUUCUAUGGAUCAAUACAGGAUAAACCAACCUUGUCUUUAAUAUCUUUGUUACUGAAUAAAGAAAUCAAUGCUUAACUUAAUUGUUGCAAUAGUGGAAUAGAGCUAGAUUAAUUAUUUUUGUUCGUUAUCCAAAAGUAAAGUAAGAUUGACUAUCCAAAUGUGCAUGUAUCCAGCGACUUCCAACUCGAAGUUAUACUUCACAACUGCAAGAACUUUAAUGCAUUUGUCAUAAAGUUAACAAAAGAGGAGGCAAAAAGAAUGGCAUGUACUAUAAUCUCCUUUCCACACAACUAUUUUUCUUAAUUAUUCAUUAUAUGUUAUGGAAGAUAAAGCAUAGUGUUAAUUACUUUGGAAUUGCAACAGAAAUGGACAAUGUUAUCUCUGUUUUCCCAAACAAGAACAGUUGUCUUCACACAACAAGGUCGUGGAACUUUGUAGGCCUUCCUCAGAAUGUGAAAAGAGCAACCACAAAGAGUGACAUAAUUGUGGGAGUAUUAGACACGUGAAUUUGGCCAGAGUCUGAGAGCUUCAAUGAAUAAGGAUUUGGUCCUCCACCAACCAAAUGGAAAGGAUCUUGUCAUAACUUCACCUGCAACAAGUGUUUGACAUUCAUUAGGUUGUGGGAAGAUGCACCCUCCUUUAACAUUGCAGAGACACUCAAUGUGAGCGGAAGUAAAAAGGUAGAUUGAUCAUCCUAUUUUUUUUGUAAAAGUAAAAUUAUUUACUUAUUAUUACUUUUGGAUAGUGUUGUGCUAUUGAUGUGCUUUAGGCUUAUUAUUAAAUGUUAAUAUUACACUGGUUAUUUUUCUAAUUGUAGCUUCAAUUC